Molecule: long non-coding RNA, 4227 nt
Organism: Bos taurus (domestic cattle)
Lineage: Eukaryota; Metazoa; Chordata; Mammalia; Artiodactyla; Bovidae
Source: Ensembl
ACCCAAGAAGAAAGUAGGAACCAAGCUGAAGCCUCAAGUCCUCGUCCCUGUCUCUCUCCAUGGUCAGCAUGGGAUCUUCCUGACCCAGGGAUUGAACCCACGUCUCCUGCACCAACAGGUGGACUCUUUACCACUGAGGGAAGUUCAUAGUCUGCGUAGAGGCAGCCCAUGACACAGGAUAGUGGGGCUAGCAGAGUUCCAGGACAGGCAGGAUGCAGGACGCUAUGGGAGUUCAGGACAGAGUAUCCUGCUCAACUGGUGAUUCCUGGAGGGAUCCCUGGGGAAGAGCCUUUUCUCCAGAGACAGGCUCUCGUUUAAUCUGGAGGAACAUACACAGGCUGGUUGGAUGCAAGUCUGCGUGUCGGGAUUCAGAGAACAGACUCAGGCAGUUGUUGAUUACAUCAAACGCGUCACUGGGCCUGCGGAGGAGCUUGUGGCAUGCAGGUGGGCAGGAAAAACUCAAACCACACUUCACCUUGGGACUCCUUCCCCUCCUUGGAUCAGAACCACACCUUUGAUAUAUUGCUGUGUGAGGAGAAUGCGCCAUGUCCCAGUUUCUAUUUCAUCGUGCCUCUGAGUUGUAUUCACAGUGCUAACUUUUCUACAAAGAAAUACUUGUAGAAAUGCUGGAUGCAAUAGGAAGCUUUUAAAUGAGAAAAAUGGAGAUUCUAUAUGCCUACUUGGAUACCAAGAUUCUGCCCAAAAGUUAAAUUUAUUUGGAAAGAGUCUAAACUGGUGUUUCCCUGCCCCUGAUAUAAUCUCUUCUCCUCUCUCCCCUUCUCUCUCCCCAUCCUCCUCCCUCUCCCUCUCAUGAGCCUCAUAUGAGGGCCACAUGGUUAAAAUGACUCUUGACUGUUGUUUUUGUCCAUUGAAAACGUGACCAGUAUCUGCUGGGUGUCUGGGAACCUUACAAGCUUGCCUUCUGCAGCCCCUGUAAGUGGCUGAAUUAGUGUUUCUCACCCUGUCCUCAGACAGAAUUUGUUAUCAAAGCCCAAGGUACAGUGGAGGCCAAGGCAACCAGCUCAGAGGCCAACAGAGCCUUGAGGAUUGUAGCAGAAGAUGGGCAUUUUUUUUCCUCUAAAGAAGGAUUUUAAAGAUUAUCAAGUUGCUCCCUUUCAGACAGAGAGCAGAAAUACCAGAGGCUGUAGUUGUCGAAGGAAAGUUGACAAAGUUGAAAGUUGGUCAAGAGGUUGGAGAGAGAAGCUAUUUUCAGCAUACUGAAAGGGCACCAUCUGAAUUUAGUCAGAAAAAUGAGGUCCUUGGUUCAAAUUCCAGCCCCCUUCAGGGGCUAGCAAGCCUGAGCCAAUCAUUGACUUUCUCUGGACUUCAGCAGAAGGAUAUUCCUUUUGGUUUCAGGGAAACCUGGAUUUACUGGGGCACUGUCACUCACUCGCCGUGUAACCCUGGGUGUGAUGUUUAGCCAUAUCUCUCAGCAUCCUUAUCUCGAAGUGGAGAUUAUAACAUCCACUCAUUUGGGCUGGCUUUUGCGAGGAAGGCUCUCAGCUCACUCCGACUAGGUGAGUGUCAUUCCCAGAUACUGCCUGUGGCGAUAGGAUGGUGAGAAAGAUAACGAAAUGGUACUUGCUGGAAAUCCGACUGCCCUCCCAGUGCUCCUGCACAGUGCCAGGGCCAGUUCUGGAAGGCGACAUCUCACAGACCCCAGCUCCAUCUACAUGUGGCUCAACAUUUUGACUUGGCUCCCUUUGUCCAGAGAUGCACAGGGCUGCGCCGUUUUGAAACUGAAUGACACCCAGUCUGUUCUGAUGUCUUGGCGGGUGUGUUUAUUUACUCAACACGUGUUGUUAUAUUUUCUCCCAGCACGCGUCCUUCUCCUGCGUUUCAAGGUAGAAGAGCCAUUACCUCUAAUGAGAGCUCCUUUGUUGCUUGUAUGCCACUUAGAAUGUUCAAGAGUGUGCUCGAUUUUUAACCUUCCAGUGCAUCUCUGUAAUAGCAUGCCACCCUUAAAAAAUGAGAGUCAGCUUCCCUCUAAAAGGAGCAGACACCGAUUUUCAACCUGAGAAACCCCCACUCAUCCUUGUAGGGGCCUCGGUUCUGCUGAGGACGCUGUAAAGCACCGUGCGUGGAAAGGCAGGGGGACUGCCGCCUGCGGGCCCCUCUGCUCUGCCGUGACCCACGAUGCAAACGAGACCAGUGCCUCGAAGGAUGCCGCGUUCUCAGUGCAUGUAAGCACCGCCCUAGGAGCCUGCAUCACAUCACUAGGAAGUGCAUGGAUGGCAGCCCUAUUUUUUUUUAAAGAGGCUUCAAUAUCACCUAAGUGAAUUAAUGUUGCCAGGAAAGGCAUUUGGAGAAUUGGUGCAUUAGGAAUAAUUGUCUUCUGGAUGCUCCCCUCACUUGAUGGAUUCAUUCUGCCCUUUUAUCCCCAUUGCUAUGGAAGCAGUCCCUGCACCUCUUUUCAUCAUCAGUCAUCAUCGUGGAAACCUCUUUCGUCCAAAUGAAGCGCUAACUGCUCCCUGAACACAGCAGACGCCUCACCUGAAUGACAGAGCCCUGCUCAUCUUUCAAGACCCACUUCAUCUCUACACUCUUGCCAGAUUUCCUGACACCAGGGUGUUUGCUCCCUCCCUCCUCUGCAUCCUCCAGUACUCUCUUUGGGCUUCCCUGUAGCUCAGCUGGUAAAGAAUCCACCUGUAAUGCAGGAUAUCCUGGUUUGAUACCUGGGUGGAAAAGAUCCCCUGGAGAAGAGAUAGGCUACCCACUCCAGUAUUCUUGGGCAUCCCUGGUGGCUCAGUGGUAAAAGAAUCUGCCUGCAAUGCGGGAGACAUAGUUCAAUCCGUGGGUUGGGAAGAUAGAUCCCCUGAAGGAUGCUAUGGCAACCCAUUCCAGUAUUAUUACCUGGGGAAUCCUCAUGGACAGAGGAGCCUGGUAGGCUACAGUCCAUGAGGUCACAAAGAGUCAGACACAACUGAGUGACUAAGCACAGCACAGCACUUUCUUUACAUCAGUAACUCUACAGUGGCACUCCCACCCUGAUUGGCAGUUAGCUGCAUGCGUGUCUUUUUUUUUUUUAUUAAUUCAUUUAUUUGGCUGUGCUGGGUCUUACUUGUGGCAUGCAGGAUCUUCAAUUGCACUGUGUGGUAUCUAGUUCCCUGACCAAAGAUCGAACCCAGGUCCUCUUGCAUCGAGAAUGCAGAGUCUUAGCCACUGGACCACCAGGGAAGCCCCUGUGUACAUGUCUGUUUCUCCUCUUGGACUGUGAGCUCAAGGUUAACUUUGGGGAACACAUUUUAUUUUUUAUCAGCAGCACCUGCCUAAUAGUGCCCAAGAUAUAUCUGGCACUUCUUAUAACUCUGGAGAAGAAGAAAAAAUAAUGCACAGAAGAGUUGACUAUUAAGAGAUACCAAAGCUGCUGUAGGGUAGGAGGAGCCAGAGGCAGCUAGGCUAAAAGGUAUAGGGAGAAGGGGCUUUCCUCCUCUAUAGUAAACCCUCCCCUUCCACAUGGGAGUAGAUAGAGACCUGGGAAGGGUAAGCUUCAUGUCCAAAGGCACACAUGAUCCAGAGCUGGGGCCAUCACUCAACAAGGAAGCCUGUCCUCUCAGGCAGGCCAGCUCUUCUUCUCCAGCACCACCUCUGAGGCACUGUCUUGAAGGAAGUGAGGGAAGCAAAGUGGUACUACUGAAGGAUAAUGCCAAGCAUAAGGCAAGAAGAAAGCAGACAAGUCUGCCUCACUUCAUGUAUCCAAGUCCCUCCAUAGCUGUUUCUGGCUAAGUCCCAAGAGCUUGUAUGCUUGGCUGGGACUGGAAAGUGGAUGUUAGCCAUGGAUCCAUGGGAUGAUGGUAGCCAUGAGGUCGUGGGGCUGGCAUUGCUGGUUGCCUUUCCAGAUCCCCUCUCUUGUCCCUAUGGCUCAUGAGCCCUACUUUAUACCCAUGACCCUGUGCUUUGGGAGGCUUGUGGGGUUUAUCUACAGUAAUUCAAGACAUGCAUGGGAGUUCUGCCCCCUUGCUAAGGGUGGAUAUGGACAUGGGUCACAGUUCUGGCCAAUGACACAGGAGGACCAGUCUUCCUCACUGUCGAAGAGAGACUUCUGCAAGAUUGCCAGAUUUAGUAAACAAAACAGAAAACAACAACCUGCAAAUCCAAACAGAACACCCAGUUAAAUUUGAAUAUCAGAUAAAGGAUGUAUUUUAGUCUAAGUAUGUUCCGUGUGCUGUUUGAAUGCCCCAGAGCAACAUCCGUGAGGUACCCUCCUCCAGAGUUCUCCAAGCUCUC